AAGUUAUUUAUGGUGAUACGGACAGUAUGUUUGUACUCCUCGAAGGACGGUCUGUUGAAGAAGCUUUUCGAAUUGGUCAUGAAAUUGCAUCAGAAGUAACUGCAAUGAACCCAAAUCCAGUCACGUUAAAGAUGGAAAAGGUUUACCAUUCAUGCUUCCUCCUUACUAAGAAACGAUAUGUUGGUUAUAGUUACGAGAACGUUGGCCAAAGCAAACCAGUGUUUGAUGCUAAAGGUAUUGAGACAGUACGAAGAGAUACAUGUGAGGCUGUGUCCAAGAUAAUGGAGCGCUCUUUAAGAGUCUUUUUUGAAUAUAGGGAUAUUGAGAAGGUAAAAUCUUACCUGGUGCGUCAGUGGAAAAAGAUUAUAUCAGGCAGAGUAUCUCUUCAGGAUUUUGUGUUCGCAAAAGAGGUACGAUUAGGCACCUAUUCUGCACAGGCUUCUUCACUUCCACCAGCAGCAAUUGUUGCCACUAAAGCAAUGAGAGUUGACCCGAGGGCAGAACCUCGGUAUGCAGAGCGAGUGCCUUAUGUUGUGGUUCACGGUGAACCGGGUGCCAGGCUGGCUGAUGUCGUGGUAGAUCCCUUGGAUGUUCUUUCAAUUGAUUCGCCUUACAGGUUAAAUGACAUAUAUUACAUCAAGAAACAGAUAAUCCCAGCUCUGCAACGAGUAUUUGGGCUCGUUCGAGCUGACUUGAAUCAAUGGUUUUCAGAUAUGCCUCGUCCAGGGCGGGAGGCUUCUGGUAAACGUCACCGAUUUACUGCAAAUGCACACAGAACUAGGAUUGAUUAUUACUAUCUGUCAAAACAUUGUAUCAUAUGUGGAGAACUGACCCAGGCAUCUAGUUACGUCUGUCAGAACUGCUCCAGCAAUGAAGCUAUAGUUGCUGCUGCUUUAACAGGAAGAACUUCAGUAUUGGAAAGAAACAUCCAACACCUUGCUGCUAUAUGUCGGCACUGUGGAGGAGGAGAUUGGCUCAUAGAAAGUGGGGUGAAAUGCACAUCUCUCGCAUGUUCUGUUUUCUACGAAAGGAGGAAAAUCCAGAAAGAACUGCAAUCUCUCUCUGGUGUUACUACAGAAGCAGGUUUUUAUCCCAGGUGUGUAGUGGAAUGGUUCUAACUAAUGCCUCAUCUGUGUGAAAGAUGUAGACUGUUAAAAGGGUAUUUAGAUAUUUAAGGAACAAUGUCUAUACAUAUGUUGUACAACAUUCUAUUGAGUCUAUUGUAAAUAUGCAUGUGCUCCCCUAGUAGAUAGAUCUUCCAAUAGUCCCG
RNAcentral lists this unclassified non-coding RNA (1270 nucleotides) under Hevea brasiliensis (rubber tree). The record is from RNAcentral. Lineage: Eukaryota; Viridiplantae; Streptophyta; Magnoliopsida; Malpighiales; Euphorbiaceae.